Long non-coding RNA from Melopsittacus undulatus (budgerigar), 2531 nucleotides. RefSeq lists it as uncharacterized. The transcript is spliced from 3 exons. NCBI's taxonomy places the organism in Eukaryota, Metazoa, Chordata, Aves, Psittaciformes, Psittaculidae. The record is from RefSeq and is a predicted model, not a curated record.
GCUACAGCAAAGUGCCUGGAAAUGUUUGCAGCUUGAAAGAAGAAGAGCUGUUUUACUUGGGAACUUAAACCUCUGCUGGAUGGAAUAUUCCCACUUUUUGGUCUAUCGGAUGGACAAGCUGAGCUUCUAAAUCUUUUCUACCUCCAUGUGUCUCAUCACUGUCACUGAUUAAUGUAAACAGCAAGAAGCUUAAUUUAUAGGCUCAACCCCAUCAUUGCCCCUGGGCCUGCAAGACCAGAACAAAACUUCAGACAAAUGCAAAUAUUUUGUUUCUGGAUUUUGACCCAUAAAUAAACACAACCCCAUGCGGUUAGAGAAUAGCAGUUCUCCCAUCUGGUGUUUGAUGUACUUGUCCUUCCCAUGGGAAAAGAAAUGACACACAGGAGUUCAGCAGACCUGAGGGAUAAGACACCUGAUUUCAUUAGAUGAGGGCCUGCUUCCUUAAAGUGACAGAAGAGGCCAGCACCUAUCUUUAAGAUCUGUUCAAAGGUGUGGAAGUGCCAUGUCAUCCUUAUGUAGGGACCAGAGCUCUAAGUGUCCCAGGCUGUGGCUGGAAGAGAAGUCUUGAAACAGCAGCUUAGCAGAGCUGAUUUGAGUCCAGUGAAAGACUCCACUAGACUGUUUUCAGAGAAAACCUGUCAUUGUAAGAUGCUGAUCAUAGCAAGCAGCCAUCUGAGCACCCCACGAUGGGAAGCUCUCACCUACCUAGUAUUCUGCUGAUGAUAUAGUUGGAGAUGCACUUCCAAGAACCACUGUGCCUUGGGGCAUUGGUUCUUGUUUUGGCCAUCUUGAAUGUACAUGACAAAAGAACUUAAUAUAAAGAUAAGAUGUUUGCUGAAAGGAAGAAAAAACAAAGAAAGAAGAAAAUAAAGAGUGAGCAAAGAGCAGAAGCCUUGAUCCAACCGCCACUCGGCACAAGUUCAUAUUACACUCCUCUGGAAUGAUAAUCACACCCUUCCUCAAGCCUGACACACCACUGAGAGGAGGAUUAUCUUUGCAUGGCUGCCUAGAUCCCUCUCACUGAUAAAGCUGCUCUAUCUGAGAAGUAUUUGGCAGAACUGCCGCCAUAUAUACAAACAGAGGAGCCGACUCUUCUAACCUCAGAGGCUUGGUAUGGGGAGUAGUCUGUAUCAGCUUUUGCGUCCUCCAGAUCACUUAUGCAACUUCUAGAACAAAACACACAGUUUCCUUGGGGAGCUUUGAGGUGGUUUUAUUAAUUGGUUUCCAAACCUUUUGAGGUAACAUUUUUAAGGUAACAAGCGUUUUUAACUCAAUUGCUUUCCCACCCACAACCACUUCUGAGUUCAGAGCUGUUUUCCAUCCCUUGGUGUGAUAAGAAGUCGCAAAAAAAUUGUUUUCUUCUUUUUUUCCAAAAUUAAAAGAUACAGCUUCUUCUACCCUCGUAUGAUCAACUGCACUGCUUACUCCCUCUCUCUAGACUUCUUACGAGUUAUCUGACAUAUCCUUUUUUAAAAUACAUUUUCUGUAUAACAUUCCCUCUCAUAUAACACAGGUAUGCUGUAUGCUGGAAGAGCCAAAGCCAUAAUUCAGUCUACAGGAGAAGGUCUUCCCCUCGAGGCAUUUCAUCCUGGGCUUAUAAUAACUGAACAAUUACAUCAAAGAGUACAGUUUCCGUGUGAUGACCCUGAUUUCAGCUGUUUAUUUGAAUGUAGUAGUUCUGUCUCCACCAGGAGUGGCCACAUUAUAUCUCAAGCAUCAUGGAAAUUAUGUGUGUCUACAUCUGCCUAGCUGGCCAGUCCAAGUUUGCACAUGACAAGCUUAGAAAGAAUUUCUUCAAGUAAUGUGCAGGGAUUUUGUCAUUUAAGACUAUGAAAGAUCUGAAGAAAUUAACCAAAAGGCAUACUUCAUUGGAACUACUCUGAUCUCUCAAAGAAAGAACUCUCUCUAUGGACAAGUAACAUAUAUAGACAGAUUUGCCAAAUGACGCUUUUCUUUCCAAGGACCCAUAAAUCUCAGAUUACUCUUGAGAGUAAUAAAUGUUGCAAUAAUGCUGUUCUUGAUUACAGGCAAGACUAUAACAGCUCUGACUGGUAGUGAUUCCAUAAUUAUGUUUGAUUACAGACAUGCUCCUACUGUCUGCAAAGUGGAUUAUUUGUUGCUUUGUAUCAGUCUCCUGGAUUCCACUGGAGACCAAGAGCACACUGUGCCAGCAUGCACAGCUCACUCAGCUGCCCUCCUCAGAGCUUUGUCACUAAAGCAUAGCAUUUAAUAGCAGGACUGUGAUAGAGGGGCAUGCAAAACCUUUUUGGAGCUGUAAUUAAAACACUAUAUAACUGCAUCAGUGUUGGCUACUUUCUAACAGGAUCCUGAAUCUCAGCAAUUCUCAAUGGCUCUUGAUUGUUAGUAAAGUUCUACUUCACAGUGCAGGGGCUAAAGUUACUCCUGCCUUUACUGUAUUACAAUUACAGCAAGAACCAAAAUGUCAAUGAGAAAUAAAGAAAAACAAUAUCUGGAACACUGCCCAUGCUUUCUACUACUCCAGAAUUAAAAAAAGGAAAAGCCCCAUUAAG